UAAAGAACUACCUGAGACUGGGUACUUAUGAAACAAAGAGAUUUAAUUGACUCACAGUUCAGCAGGCUGUACAGAAAGCAUGGCUAGGGAGUCCUCAGGAAAUGUACAGUCACGGUGGAAGGCAAAGGGGAAGUAGGCACAUCUUCCCAUGGCAGAGCAGGAGAGAGAGAAAGAGAGAGAGACAGAGAGAGAGAGAGAAGAGGGGAGGUGCUAUACACUUUCAAACAAUCAUAUCUCAUGAGAAUUCUAUCACAAGACAGCACUAGGGGGAUGGUGCUAAACCAUUAGAAACCACCCCCAUGAUCCAAUCACCUCCCACCAGGCCCCACCUCCAUCACUGCGAAUUAUAAUUCGACAUGAGAUUUGGGAGAUGACACAAAACCAAACCAUAUCAGUCUUUAAAGAGUUAAGUUAAAAUAAGCUCUUUAAAGUGGGCCCUAAUCCAGUAUGACUGGUGUUCUUAUAAGAAGAGGAGAUUUGGUCACAGACAUGGUUGCAUGCAGAAUAAAGACUUUUCGAGGACACACUGAGAAGGCAGCCAUCUGCAAAACAAGGAAAGAGUCCUCAGCAGAAACCAGUCCUGCAGACUCCUUGAUCUUGGACUUCCAGCCACUGCAAUUGGGAGUGACCUACAAAAUGCAUAAUGUGAAACAAUGCAAAAGCGAAAGGUGCAAAAUCCCCAUCAAAGAGCUGGAGGCUGACAGAUGCGCCAGUGAUAAUUCCCAUCUUCCAACACAGGAGCACAGCUUCCAUUUUCCAUAACAGAACAACAGCCAGAGCAGCUGGAAGGCAGGGCCGCAUCCCAGACUUCCACCAACAAUGGGAUGAGACUUGACAUCUGGAAUCACAACCACAACAGACCUGAGAGACCCACCAGCUUGAUGACAAGCUUCUUCUUUCAAAGAAAGGUAUCAGUCUGGGGGACCUAGUGCUGCAAACCAUGACAAAUUAAGUGUGGCAUCCCUCACUUGCAUAAUGGAACUCAGUGAUAUUUUUUAAUUAACAAGAGUUAUUUUUAUGUAAGCUUCUCUCAUUCCUCCACUGUGCGUGCUCGGGGGCUGGUGGUGAGGAAAAAGAAAACAGCUGUGCGGGAAGCAUCAAGAAAAGGCAAGUCAUGAAGUCUUAGAGAUCAGUGACAUGUAAGAAAAAGAGUGAGGAGAAAAAUAUUCCUACUAAAGUUUUCCAUUUGUUUACCUUCCUUGUCACAUAGACUUCCAAGAGUUAGAAGUCUAGGAUUUGAUCUCCAAAUCUUCCUGGCAGAUUACUCAUCUUCAUUUCAUUCAUAUAGUCCAGGGGUUUGUACAAAGGAAGAUGCCAGUUCUUCCCCAAUCAUAACUAAGAUAUCAAGAGAUAUUCUUUUGAAAUGUAACAAAGGAGAUCUGAAGUUCAUCUGAAAAAAAUAAAUGGUUUUAGGCGGUCAUGACCAUGGGAUGCUGGACCAGGAUGGUAAGCUUCAGGAAACAGAAUCUGGAGAAUGCCCAGCUGCUCCCACAGGAAGCAUCAGGGAAGAAGAAGAAGAGGUGUGAAGUCUGCCUUCUGCUCUGCUGGGAUCCCUUUCACAUCUCCUUUGCCUCCAGGCAGUUUUGGUUCCUGGCCAUUUCCAGGUGUGACUCACUCAGGAUGGUAAGCAUCUUCUCUCCUACCCAGAGUAGAGGAUGAAGACCUCAUCUCAGAGGUUGAAGGGAGCUCCAGAGAGAGGUCUCAAACUUCCAGCAUUAACUGCUAAAGAAGCUUCAUGAGCUGCUGGAGAACCUGGGAAAUGACCAAUUAUAGGGACAGAGCUCAAAUACUCUGGGACACUCUAGUAGCUGAGAAAGUUCCAACUCCAGGGUGAUAGAGGACUGCCUGGCAAACCAUCAUCAAAGCAGAAGACCUGAUACUAACAUCACAGGCUAUGGUUUAUUACUGAAGAUCAGUGCUUACACCCUGCCAGAGGUUCAGAAGCAAACUUAUCAUUGUUCUCCCUGGAGAUGUUGGCCCACAUUCUGAAAAGUGUGGUCAGUAGUAGCAACAGAAAGCAAUUGUGCUUGCCAAGCACAAUGUCACUGUCCCCAGCCCUUCCCCCAACACAACCCAGUAGGUGCUUCCUGGCUGCAAACUUGGGAAAGUCACUUGACCUGUCUGAGGUUCCACUUCCUAAUCUGGCCUGGCGAAGAUAAGAAAAACAGUUUAUUUAAAGUGUCUAGCAAAGUGCUUGGACCAAAAUAGGACCUCUGAAAUGGUUAUGGUAGUGCUGUUAAGGUGAUGUUUUAAGUGCUGAUGAGCACAAAGAUGGGUAAGAUAUUCCUUCUGUUAAAAUCUACAGUCUAAUGAGAGAGAACAAGAUGAAUGCACAAUAACUGUCAUUCAGAACAGGAUUAUGAGAAGGUGUGAAUUUCUGUGAAAAAUCAGAACAGGGAGUAAUAUGAUCCCAGGUGAUUGGCAGGGGGUGGGGGUCUGGAUUCAACUGGAGAGGGAGCUGGCAGGGAAGGCUUCCUGGAGGAUGAGAGUUCAACAAGGGGCAGGUGUAGGAUGUGGGUGGCCAAGUGACUGGGCAGAAGGAGCUGCAGAAGUAAGACCCCAAAUCAGGAAGACAAGGGCCUGCUGAGAAACACGAGCUACAAAGUGCAAGUGCAGGAAGAGUUGGGAUGAGAUUAGAAGGGGGUCUGGGGCCAGACUGUGGAAGGCCCAAAUGCCGGGCUAAGGAGUUUGUACUUAAUUCAGUGGUCAACGGGGAGUCAUUGGAGGCUGUUGAGCAGGAGAGUUGCUUUCUUUACAGCUGUGCCAGACUAAAUUAAACCUAAACAGUACUUUAUAGCUGGAAAGGGAAGGCCCAGGAAUAGCUCUUGACUCAGAAACAGGCAUUGGGGAAGGUAAUGAGAAACAGCCGUGACUGAUCAAAGCAGAGAGGUUAAUUAAAUUUGUAAUUAUUGUGAAAGGCCAUUAAAAACCCUAGUUCACUAGAGAUAACUGCUCUAGUGGGGCUUCAAAGACAAACGCUUCUUUUAACCUUGAAUAGGGGGAUGUUUGCUUCUCUGUGGAGGAGAUAUGAUUAAGAUACUUAAUAAAUGGUAGAUAAACAUGCACACGUGUGUGUUCUCUGUAAACCCACUCUUCGUCCCUGCAUAUAUCUGUGUAGCUAUGUAGGGUGCUCCACAAGAGGGGUCCCCAGCCCCCAGGCCAUAGAGCGUUAUGGGUCCAUGACCUAUUAGGAACCAGGCCACACAGCAGGAGUUGAGCAGAGGGCAAGCAAGCAAAGCUUCAUCUGUAUUUACAGUC
RNAcentral lists this long non-coding RNA (3258 nucleotides) under Homo sapiens (human). Its description in RNAcentral is "HSALNT0134829". The record is from RNAcentral. Lineage: Eukaryota; Metazoa; Chordata; Mammalia; Primates; Hominidae.